This is a long non-coding RNA of Brassica napus (rape), 1133 nucleotides long. RefSeq lists it as uncharacterized. Lineage: Eukaryota; Viridiplantae; Streptophyta; Magnoliopsida; Brassicales; Brassicaceae. The transcript has 2 exons. The record is from RefSeq and is a predicted model, not a curated record.
UUAUCUAGCUUGCAGUAUUUUAAUUUAAUAGGCGAAGUUCCUAAAAAGUUUAGUGAAAGUUAGUGAAAUACAUUAAUCUAAGGGGAUAAUAUUUAUUUUCUACAAUUUAAGGGAUAAGAUCAUAAGAUUGUGUGAAUAAUGAAUAAAAAGAAGUUAUCUUCUAAUUGAGAUAAGAAAUCUCUGGGUCCAACGUUUCCAACCCAAAAAAUUUGAUUUCUAUCUUUCAAAGCCUUUCAUCUCUUUAUAUAGCAGCUCAUUCUCAACCAAGUUUGUAUCUACCCCAAAACUUCUUCGAUUGUGUCUUCAGACAUAUCCUACCUCAUCACAUAUCUCUAUCUCUCGUUUGACACGUUGUGGACGAGGUGAGAGCAAGAGACAUGGGAUGAGGGUAGAAUAUGCAUAUGUUUUUUUUGUUUGCUCUCAACUAUAUAUGUUCUUAUAUCUACUUCUAAAACCAAUCCUUUGACUGUAUCCUAAGACAACUCUUUGUGCACAUGAUCUAUCGCAUAUCAUGGAUCUACCAAUUUCACUCGCUUGAGACGUUGUGUAGAGGCUCCUCUAGUUGAUACCUUUGUCAGUUAUCCGGUCCGUGUGUGGUACAAAACGGUCGUAUUCAAUUUCAUCUAUCCUUCGAAAACGAAUUAGUCCGAGAAGUAUGUGUGGUAUGAUCGGUUCGAAACGUAACAUGUAUGUUAUCCGUUCUGCCUUGUUGGAUAUAAACCGGAUAAAAUAACAUAAACCGGUCAGAUGGUUAAAUAAUAUCAGAGAAACAAAAAAAAAGUUGGGUUCUUCACCAAGCAGUCGAGCAACUUCUCUCCAUCAAUCUCCUAAGAAGAGAGCUUCUAAAAAGAGACAUAUCUGCCUCCACCCCAGUAAAGGAGCUUUGGAUCGUCGAUUAUGGUUAAUGCCUUAGAUUUGCAGAGUGAUAUUUCGUGUAUACGCACACCAAUUAACCUAAUGUGCACACUACCACAAUCGAAUGGUAUGUCGAUGUAGCACUUUAGGAUCGAAUCCACAGAGACCAACUAUUACACUUUAUCUUUAUAGGAUCAAUAUCAAGCUAAAACAAUAUGGGGGGUUUUAAAGUUGAUUUCGUAACAAGCAAGUAAUAAGAUUAAUUAAAGAUUUUCAGA